RNAcentral lists this long non-coding RNA (209 nucleotides) under Solanum tuberosum (potato). Its description in RNAcentral is "long non-coding RNA (STUB_LNC008473)". Lineage: Eukaryota; Viridiplantae; Streptophyta; Magnoliopsida; Solanales; Solanaceae. The record is from RNAcentral.
AGUGGCGGACCCAGGAUUUUCACGAAGUGGGUUCAAGAUAUAAAAAAUAAAUAAGAGAGGUUCAAGUUGAGAGAUGGGGAGAGUUUUUUUCCUUCAACAAAAAAAUAUGCUCAAAAUUUUGGGGGGAAAAGUAAGAGAGGUUCAAGAAGAUUUCAACAAAGAAGAAGAUAAAAGGAUUUUUAGAAUUGAAAAUAAUAGGGAUUAGUGCC